This is a long non-coding RNA of Dama dama (fallow deer), 576 nucleotides long. RefSeq lists it as uncharacterized. The transcript is spliced from 3 exons. The record is from RefSeq and is a predicted model, not a curated record. Lineage: Eukaryota; Metazoa; Chordata; Mammalia; Artiodactyla; Cervidae.
CACCAAGUGAGGACACAGAAAGAAGGUGCUGGUGAUGGACUAGGAAAUUGAGCCUUCAGAGGUAACCAUGCUGGAACCUUGAUCUUAGACUUCCCAGCCUCCAGAACUGCAUAAUUGCAGAGUAGUCUUAUUUCUGUCUGACUCACCACAGUCACAGAAUGGUCCCUUCUGAUGAUGAUCUUCUGUGAAAUUAUCAUGUCCAACAUGAAACCAUCAAGACCUGCCUAUUUCUCAUAUGGGAACCAGAAAGACACUGUUCGACUUGCCAGUUAUCUGCAUUGCUGGGAAAUGAUCAACUUUGCAGCACUGCUCACAGUCUCCAGAAAGUGCCACGAUGACAGAAUAUUGACUUCCACAGGGGCUCAGGGCUGGCAUCAGCAAGUUGAGAAAAGCAAGCAGUUUCUGUUUCUGGAAGGUUUCACAAGACAGCACCCCAUACACUGUAACUUACUUAGGAAGCAUUCUACUUACAAACAGAGAUUCCAGCUUUGCAAUUUCUGGAAUCUGUGGACAUGUAAACAUUGGAUCCAAGUCAUUUUUACUUAGUUUCUCAGUCUCCAUACUUCACCUCUUACU